UCGGACAUGGUGUAGGGUACACGGCCUCCAUCUCUACGGCGCGUACCUCUGUUAGAGGCUAUCCGGGGUUCGACUCCCCGUGUCCGAA
Mycena leptocephala is the source of this 88-nucleotide non-coding RNA. Lineage: Eukaryota; Fungi; Basidiomycota; Agaricomycetes; Agaricales; Mycenaceae. The record is from the annotation of a GenBank genome assembly.